This 387-nucleotide ribosomal RNA is filed under the name uncultured bacterium. RNAcentral's name for it is "bacterial SSU rRNA". It matches the Rfam family "Bacterial small subunit ribosomal RNA", at positions 28 to 417 of the family's 1533-position model. The record is from RNAcentral.
GACGAACGCUGGCGGCGUGCUUAACACGUGCAAGUCGAGCGGUAAGGCCCUUUCGGGGGUACACGAGCGGCGAACGGGUGAGUAACACGUGGGUGACCUGCCCUCAGCUCUGGGAUAAGCCUGGGAAACCGGGUCUAAUACCGGAUAUGACUCCAUGACGCAUGUUGUGGGGUGGAAAGCCUUGUGCGGCUGAGGAUGGGCCCGCGGCCUAUCAGCUUGUUGGUGGGGUGAUGGCCACCAAGGCGACGACGGGUAGCCGGCCUGAGAGGGCGACCGGCCACACUGGGACUGAGACACGGCCCAGACUCCUACGGGAGGCAGCAGUGGGGGAUCUUGCGCAAUGGGCGAAAGCCUGACGCAGCGACGCCGCGUGAGGGAUGACGGCCU